This 253-nucleotide ribosomal RNA is filed under the name uncultured bacterium. RNAcentral's name for it is "partial 16S ribosomal RNA". It matches the Rfam family "Bacterial small subunit ribosomal RNA", at positions 524 to 776 of the family's 1533-position model. The record is from RNAcentral.
UACAGAGGGGGCAAGCGUUAUUCGGAAUUAUUGGGCGUAAAGGGCGCGUAGGCGGCUUGGCAAGUGGAUGGUGAAAUCCCUCGGCUUAACCGAGGAACUGCCGUCCAAACUGCUUAGCUUGAGACCGGGAGAGGUGAGUGGAAUUCCCAGUGUAGCGGUGAAAUGCGUAGAUAUUAGGAAGAACACCAGUGGCGAAGGCGGCUCACUGGAUCGGUACUGACGCUGAGGUGCGAAAGCGUGGGGAGCAAACAGG